Unclassified non-coding RNA from Callithrix jacchus (white-tufted-ear marmoset), 116 nucleotides. It matches the Rfam family "Metazoan signal recognition particle RNA". Rfam says of the family: The signal recognition particle (SRP) is a universally conserved ribonucleoprotein. It is involved in the co-translational targeting of proteins to membranes. The eukaryotic SRP consists of a 300-nucleotide 7S RNA and six proteins: SRPs 72, 68, 54, 19, 14, and 9. The record is from Ensembl. Lineage: Eukaryota; Metazoa; Chordata; Mammalia; Primates; Cebidae.
GCCGGGCGUGGUGGCUCACGCCGGUAAUCCAAGCACUUUGGAGGCUAAGGCGGGUGGAUCACCUGAGGUCGGGAGUUCAAGACCAGCCUGACCAACAUGGUGAAAACCCGUCUUUA